Molecule: ribosomal RNA, 483 nt
Filed under: uncultured bacterium
Lineage: Bacteria
Description: partial 16S ribosomal RNA
Rfam family: Bacterial small subunit ribosomal RNA
Source: RNAcentral
GACGAACGCUGGCGGCGUGCUUAACACAUGCAAGUCGAACGAUGAAGCCGGAGCUUGCUCUGGUGAAUUAGUGGCGAACGGGUGAGUAACACGUGAGUAACCUGCCCUUGACUCUGGGAUAACUGCUAGAAAUGGUAGCUAAUACCGGAUACGACCCUCGGAGGCAUCUCCAGGGGGUGGAAAGAAUUUCGGUCAAGGAUGGACUCGCGGCCUAUCAGCUAGUUGGUGAGGUAACGGCUCACCAAGGCGACGACGGGUAGCCGGCCUGAGAGGGUGACCGGCCACACUGGGACUGAGACACGGCCCAGACUCCUACGGGAGGCAGCAGUGGGGAAUAUUGCACAAUGGGCGCAAGCCUGAUGCAGCAACGCCGCGUGAGGGAUGACGGCCUUCGGGUUGUAAACCUCUUUAGUAGGGAAGAAGCGAAAGUGACGGUACCUGCAGAAAAAGCACCGGCUAACUACGUGCCAGCCGCCGCGGUAA